Molecule: RNase P RNA, 289 nt
Filed under: Jaculus jaculus (lesser Egyptian jerboa)
Lineage: Eukaryota; Metazoa; Chordata; Mammalia; Rodentia; Dipodidae
Description: Nuclear RNase P (ENSJJAG00000006998.1)
Rfam family: Nuclear RNase P
About the family: Ribonuclease P (RNase P) is a ubiquitous endoribonuclease, found in archaea, bacteria and eukarya as well as chloroplasts and mitochondria. Its best characterised activity is the generation of mature 5'-ends of tRNAs by cleaving the 5'-leader elements of precursor-tRNAs. Cellular RNase Ps are ribonucleoproteins.
Source: Rfam by way of RNAcentral
GGACGGAAGUAAACUCAUCAAUGGAGCCAGGAGCUGAGUGUGUCAUGUCACUCCAACCACUGUCUCUUGGGUAGGUCUGAGACUAGAGCCACCAAGAAUGUCCCUAAUAGGCUCUCUCUCUCUCUGUGCUUCAGAGAGGCAAGAAUAGGGCUCUGCACAAGGGCAGACAAGGCAUGAGAUGCCUGGGACCCUCAGGGGCCCAGCAGAUGCCUCCCUAGCUGGAGCUUAGAACAGACUCACCAUUAGCCAAGUGAGUUCAUAAACAAACAAAGCAGCACAAUGUACGUCU